RNAcentral lists this long non-coding RNA (1062 nucleotides) under Apteryx owenii (little spotted kiwi). RNAcentral describes it as "lncRNA (ENSAOWG00000011817.1)". The record is from RNAcentral. Lineage: Eukaryota; Metazoa; Chordata; Aves; Apterygiformes; Apterygidae.
UGUGGGUGUUCACUACAGGCCACCUGAUCAGGAAGAGGAAGUUGAUGAGGCCUUCUACAGACAGCUGGAAGUAGCCUCACGAUCCCAGGCCCUGGUUCUCAUGGGGGGCUUCAACCACCCUGAUAUCUGCUGGAAAGACAACACAGCUAGGCACAAACAGUCCCGGAGGUUCCUGCAGAGCAUUGGUGACAACUUCUUGACACAGGUGGAGGAGCCAACAAGGAGAGGUGUGCUGCUGGACCUCGUACUAACAAAUAAAGAAGGACUGGUGGAAGAUGUGAAGGUCGGGGGCUGCCUUGGCUGCAGUGACCAUGAGAUGGUGGAGUUCAGGAUCCUGCAAGGAGGCAGCAGGGCACCAAGUAGGAUCGCAACCCUGGACUUCAGGAGAGCAAACUUUGGCCUCUUCAGGGACCUACUUGGAGGAAUGCCAUGGGUUAGGGCCCUAGAAGGAAGGGGCGUUCAAGAGAGCUGGUUAAUAUUCAAACAUCACUUCCUCCAGGCUCAAGAGCGGUGCAUCCCUAUGAGUAGGAAGUCAAGCAAAGGAGGCAGGAGACCUGCAUGGAUGAGCAAGGAGCUCCUGGCAAAACUCAGCCAGAAGAAGGAAGUAUACAGAAAGUGGAAAGGGGGACAGGCCACUUGGGAGGAAUAUAGGAACAUUGUCAGAGUAUGCAGGGAUGCGACAAGGAAGGCUAAGGCCCGUUUGGAAUUAAAUCUGGCAAGAGAUGUCAAGGACAGCAAGAAGGCCUUCUUCAAAUACAUCAGUAGCAAGAGGAAGACUAGGGAAAAUGUGGGCCCUUUGCUGAAUGGGGUGGGUGCCCUGGUGACAAAGGAUGCAGAGAAGGCAGAGUUACUGAAUGCCUUCUUUGCUUCAGUCUUUACUGCUCAGGCCAGCCCUCAGGAACCCCAGAUCCUGGAGGCAAGAGAGAAAGUCUGGAGAAAGGAAGACUUUCCCUUGGUGGAGGAGGAGUGGGUUAGAGAUCAUUUAAGCAAACCUGACACCCACAAAUCCACGGGCCCUGAUGGGAUGCACCCACGAGUGCUGAGGGAGCUGGUGGAUGUCAU